RNAcentral lists this ribosomal RNA (433 nucleotides) under uncultured bacterium. RNAcentral describes it as "partial 16S ribosomal RNA". It matches the Rfam family "Bacterial small subunit ribosomal RNA", at positions 29 to 507 of the family's 1533-position model. The record is from RNAcentral.
AACGAACGCUGGCGGCAUGCCUAACACAUGCAAGUCGAACGAGACCUUCGGGUCUAGUGGCGCACGGGUGCGUAACGCGUGGGAACCUGCCCUUAGGUUCGGAAUAACUCCCCGAAAGGGGUGCUAAUACCGGCUAAUGUCUUCGGACCAAAGAUUUAUCGCCUUUGGAGGGGCCCGCGUUGGUUUAGCUUGUUGGUAGGGUAAAAGCCUACCAAGGCGACGCUCCAUAGCUGGUCUGAGAGGAUGAUCAGCCACACUGGGACUGAGACACGGCCCAGACUCCUACGCGAUGCAGCAGUGGGGAAUAUUGGACAAUGGGCGAAAGCCUGAUCCAGCAAUGCCGCGUGAGUGAUGAAGGCCUGAGGGUUGUAAAGCUCUUUUACCCGGGAUGAUAAUGACAGUACCGGGAGAAUAAGCUCCGGCUAACUUCGUG